CGUAGCGUAGCAUAGUGGUGUAGGCUGUUGUUGUGGAUCAGCUGAUCGUGGGUUCGAGUCCCGCGUGUACCA
This 72-nucleotide transfer RNA is filed under the name Hordeum vulgare. Its description in RNAcentral is "tRNA-OTHER". Lineage: Eukaryota; Viridiplantae; Streptophyta; Magnoliopsida; Poales; Poaceae. The record is from RNAcentral.